This 253-nucleotide ribosomal RNA is filed under the name uncultured bacterium. RNAcentral describes it as "partial 16S ribosomal RNA". It matches the Rfam family "Bacterial small subunit ribosomal RNA", at positions 524 to 776 of the family's 1533-position model. The record is from RNAcentral.
GACGGGGGAUGCAAGCGUUAUCCGGAAUUAUUGGGCGUAAAGGGUCUGUAGGUGGUGAUACAAGUCACAUGUGCAAGCCUGGUGCUCAACGGCAUGAAGGCCAGGGAAACUGUCUGACUAGAGUGUAGGAGAGGUAGAAGGAAGUCCCGGUGUAGCGGUGAAAUGCGUAGAUACCGGGAAGAACACCGGUGGCGCAAGCGUUCUACUGGGAUAUAACUGACACUGAGGGACGAAAGCUAGGGGAGCGAAUGGG